Molecule: ribosomal RNA, 391 nt
Filed under: uncultured bacterium
Lineage: Bacteria
Description: bacterial SSU rRNA
Rfam family: Bacterial small subunit ribosomal RNA
Source: RNAcentral
GACAAACGCUGGCGGGGUGCAUGAGACAUGCAAGUCGAACGGGGUUGAGCGGGCUUGCUCGAUCAACCUAGUGGCGGACGGCUGAGUAACGCGUAGGUGACCUACCCGGAAGUGGGGAAUAACUGCCCGAAAGGGUGGCUAAUACCGCAUGUGGUCGGCGAUUCAGUUCGCCGCCCAAAGCCGCAAGGCGCUUCCGGCGGGGCCUGCGUCCGAUUAGCUAGUUGGUGGGGUAAUGGCUCACCAAGGCGACGAUCGGUAGCUGGUCUGAGAGGAUGAUCAGCCAGACUGGGACUGAGAACGGCCCAGACUCCUACGGGAGGCAGCAGUCGGGAAUUUUGCCCAAUGGACGAAAGUCUGAGGCAGCAACUCCGCGUGAGGGACGAAGGCCUUC